Molecule: long non-coding RNA, 745 nt
Organism: Bubalus bubalis (water buffalo)
Lineage: Eukaryota; Metazoa; Chordata; Mammalia; Artiodactyla; Bovidae
Exons: 3
Source: RefSeq, a predicted model, not a curated record
AAUGAAGGUUUCCAAGACUCUGGCUGGUGUCCUAGCAAAAUUCUCUUUCACUUGUUGAGGGGAUGGGUUCCCUGCAGCAAGGAAGGUAAGCAGGCUCACCUGCUCAUGCCAGGCCAACGCCCCAAACCCUCAUGAUUCUUGACCCACUCGGAACAGACCCACAGUGACCUCCUAAGGAGAGGUGUGUGGUGGGGUUCAGGAGCUAGCCAUCCUAUCCUUUCUUAGGCUGAACUGACCAUAUAACCUAAAAAAAAAUCCUUUGAUCCCUGAAUGCCUGCUCAUUUUCUCCCCCUGUAAAAUGAAGGUAAACUGAAAGGAUCUGUGAAAGUCAUACAGUUUAUGACACUACAGUCCAUGGGUUUCUUAAGGCAUUAAUCACUCAGUUCAUUCUGGGGCAAGCUUGGUGCACGCAUCUGCCAUCCUCUCUUCACUCGAAGGAAUUGAGUGUGAGAUGCCUGAUCCCUGUCUCCCCAUUGAUCCACCCACCUGGGGUUAAUUAGUGCUUCUGCCCUUGAAAAUGAUUCUGCCCCUUGAGAUUACCCUUGGGGCCUGAAGAUCACUGCCUAGAAGAAUAUGGUAUUAAAAUCGGGUCGAAAGGAAAGUAAAGCCAACACAGAAUAAGGUUGAAGUAAGAGAUGGUGAAAAAGACAUAGAUUUCUGACCAUCUUGUUUCAACACCUGGUCUCAGCAACUAAGAGGGGAUGACAGAGGAUGAGAUGGCUGGAUGGCAUCACUGGCUGGAUGG